RNAcentral lists this ribosomal RNA (600 nucleotides) under uncultured bacterium. RNAcentral describes it as "bacterial SSU rRNA". It matches the Rfam family "Bacterial small subunit ribosomal RNA", at positions 338 to 947 of the family's 1533-position model. The record is from RNAcentral.
CCUACGGGAGGCAGCAGUGGGGAAUAUUGCACAAUGGGCGAAAGCCUGAUGCAGCAACGCCGCGUGAGGGACGACGGCCUUCGGGUUGUAAACCUCUUUUAGUAGGGAAGAAGCGAAAGUGACGGUACCUGCAGAAAAAGCACCGGCUAACUACGUGCCAGCAGCCGCGGUAAUACGUAGGGUGCAAGCGUUAUCCGGAAUUAUUGGGCGUAAAGAGCUCGUAGGCGGUUUGUCGCGUCUGCUGUGAAAACUGGGGGCUCAACCCCCAGCCUGCAGUGGGUACGGGCAGACUAGAGUGCGGUAGGGGAGAUUGGAAUUCCUGGUGUAGCGGUGGAAUGCGCAGAUAUCAGGAGGAACACCGAUGGCGAAGGCAGAUCUCUGGGCCGUAACUGACGCUGAGGAGCGAAAGCAUGGGGAGCGAACAGGAUUAGAUACCCUGGUAGUCCAUGCCGUAAACGUUGGGAACUAGAUGUAGGGACCAUUCCACGGUUUCUGUGUCGCAGCUAACGCAUUAAGUUCCCCGCCUGGGGAGUACGGCCGCAAGGCUAAAACUCAAAGAUAGACGGCGUGNGAGCGCGACGACGACGACGACGGAGGAGG